Molecule: ribosomal RNA, 253 nt
Filed under: uncultured bacterium
Lineage: Bacteria
Description: partial 16S ribosomal RNA
Rfam family: Bacterial small subunit ribosomal RNA
Source: RNAcentral
UACGGAGGGUGCAAGCGUUAUCCGGAUUCACUGGGUUUAAAGGGUGCGUAGGUGGGCAAGUAAGUCAGUGGUGAAAUCUCCGGGCUUAACCCGGAAACUGCCAUUGAUACUAUUUGUCUUGAAUACUGUGGAGGUCAGCGGAAUAUGUCAUGUAACGGUGAAAUGCUUAGAUAUGACAUAGAACACCAAUUGCGAAGGCAGCUGGCUACACAAAUAUUGACACUGAGGCACGAAAGCGUGGGGAUCAAACAGG